GAUGAACGCUGGCGGCGUGCCUAAUACAUGCAAGUCGAGCGAACAGACGAGGAGCUUGCUCCUCUGACGUUAGCGGCGGACGGGUGAGUAACACGUGGAUAACCUACCUAUAAGACUGGGAUAACUUCGGGAAACCGGAGCUAAUACCGGAUAAUCUAUUGCACCGCAUGGUUCAAUAGUGAAAGACGGUUUUGCUGUCACUUAUAGAUGGAUCCGCGCCGCAUUAGCUAGUUGGUAAGGUAACGGCUUACCAAGGCGACGAUGCGUAGCCGACCUGAGAGGGUGAUCGGCCACACUGGAACUGAGACAGGGACCAGACUCCUACGGGAGGCAGCAGAAGGGAAUCUUCCGCAAUGGGCGAAAGCCUGACGGAGCAACGCCGCGUGAGUGAUGAAGGUCUUCGGAUCGUAAAACUCUGUUAUUAGGGAAGAACAAAUGUAUAAGUAACUAUGCACGUCUUGACGGUACCUAAUCAGAAAGCCACGGCUAACUACGUG
RNAcentral lists this ribosomal RNA (497 nucleotides) under uncultured bacterium. RNAcentral describes it as "partial 16S ribosomal RNA". It matches the Rfam family "Bacterial small subunit ribosomal RNA", at positions 28 to 507 of the family's 1533-position model. The record is from RNAcentral.